CCGUUCUCUGCUGGCGCAUUGCUGCGCCCUCAGACGCUCGGAGUCAUCAGGGCUGAUCGACGCACCACCUCCACUUAGUUGCUUCAUGGUGCGUUGCGCCGCAGAAAGUCGGCACAGCAACGUUGGACGCGCCUCUCUCACACUCUCUUCCCCGUAUCGCUGUUCUUCUUAACAUUCAGAAGCCGAGAGACAGAUGUCGAUAGGGUAUGUCUUCACUUGUGGCUCCACGGAUGGUGCGCCCGUGUGAUCUUCGCGCGCACCCGAUUCAGCCGUCUUCUUUCUUUGUGCAUAUACUAUCGUGAAGGCGUGCCUCGGAGAGUGAGUGCAGAUCGAGAACUCUCGCUCUCUGUCCAACUCACCUCCUCCUCUCCGUCCCUCUGCCAGCAAGCCCCGUGCGCACCCCGUCCGUGCCUGACCUCUUUCGGUUGGUUUGGUCUCUGUAUGUACCGCCGUGCGCUUUUCUCGGGGCAUGAUGGUGCGGCCAAGACCGGGGCAGAGAGGGGGCGGAUCUUUCGUUUUCCGUUUGGCGUCCAUUGUGUGGAGGGGAUCACGUUUCUGCCCAUGUGUCGGUGUUACUUACCCCGCCCGCCUCUUUUUCUAUAUCUUUGGCUGUAUGGGGGGAAGGGUGCCUCUCUCCCCUGCCCGGUUCUGCCAGUGACAUCAUGGGCGGCCCCAUACUCUCGCUUGGACAAACAAGCACCGGCACACGCACACAUACGUUUGCGUGUCUGUGUGUGUGUAUGGCUGAUCAAGAAAAGGACGGGCUCCACUAGUGCGAGUAUGACGCUGGUGUAACUCUCUGUCUGUCAGUCUCUCGCCCCCUCUUCCAUCCAUCUCUCUCUCUCACACACCUGCGCACACACACACACACACACACCUCACACUGGCGACGCAAAG
Molecule: unclassified non-coding RNA, 897 nt
Filed under: Leishmania donovani
Lineage: Eukaryota; Euglenozoa; Kinetoplastea; Trypanosomatida; Trypanosomatidae
Description: gene:unknown
Source: RNAcentral